Molecule: ribosomal RNA, 490 nt
Filed under: uncultured bacterium
Lineage: Bacteria
Description: bacterial SSU rRNA
Rfam family: Archaeal small subunit ribosomal RNA
Source: RNAcentral
CCAGCACCUAGUGCUGGCUGUCCUACUGUCUAAAUAACAGUGGUUAGCAAGGGCCGGGCAAGACCGGUGCCAGCCGCCGCGGUAACACCGGCGGCCCGAGUGGUAACCGUUUUUAUUGGGUUUAAAGGGUCCGUAGCCGGCUUACUAAGUCUCUUGGGAAAUCUGGCGGCUCAAUCGUCAGGCGGCCAAGAGAUACUGGUAGGCUUGGGACCGGGAGAGGUGGAGGUACUCCAGGGGUAAGGGUGAAAUCUCGUAAUCCUUGGGGGACCACCGAUGGCGAAGGCAUCCCACCAGAACAGGUUCGACGGUGAGGAACGAAAGCUGGGGGCACGAACCGGAUUAGAUACCCGGGUAGUCCCAGCUGUAAACGAUGCUCGCUAGGUGUCAGGUGCGGUGCGACCGCAUCUGGUGCCGCAGUGAAAACUUGAAGCGAGUCACCUGGGAAGUACGGUCGCAAGGCUGAAACUUAAAGGAAUUGGCGGGGGAGCAC